RNAcentral lists this non-coding RNA (29 nucleotides) under Rattus norvegicus (Norway rat). The record is from RNAcentral. Lineage: Eukaryota; Metazoa; Chordata; Mammalia; Rodentia; Muridae.
UAACUGGGGUCGACUGUGCUGUGGGCAAA